GGCGGGGGGUCUAUCUGCAGUCGUGCGGACCUUUUAAAGCUUGCUUUUAAAAGGUUAGCGGCGGACGGGUGAGUAACACGUGGGCAACCUGCCUGUAAGAUCGGGAUAACGCCGGGAAACCGGGGCUAAUACCGGAUAGUUUUUUCCUCCGCAUGGAGGAAAAAGGAAAGACGGCUUCGGCUGUCACUUACAGAUGGGCCCGCGGCGCAUUAGCUAGUUGGUGGGGUAACGGCUCACCAAGGCAACGAUGCGUAGCCGACCUGAGAGGGUGAUCGGCCACAUUGGGACUGAGACACGGCCCAAACUCCUACGGGAGGCAGCAGUAGGGAAUCUUCCGCAAUGGACGAAAGUCUGACGGAGCAACGCCGCGUGAGUGAAGAAGGCCUUCGGGUCGUAAAACUCUGUUGCCGGGGAAGAACAAGUGCCGUUCGAACAGGGCGGCGCCUUGACGGUACCCGGCCAGAAAGCCACGGCUAACUACGUGCCAGCAGCCGCGGUAAUACGUAGGUGGCAAGCGUUGUCCGGAAUUAUUGGGCGUAAAGCGCGCGCAGGCGGCUUCUUAAGUCUGAUGUGAAAUCUUGCGGCUCAACCGCAAGCGGUCAUUGGAAACUGGGAGGCUUGAGUGCAGAAGAGGAGAGUGGAAUUCCACGUGUAGCGGUGAAAUGCGUAGAGAUGUGGAGGAACACCAGUGGCGAAGGCGGCUCUCUGGUCUGUAACUGACGCUGAGGCGCGAAAGCGUGGGGAGCAAACAGGAUUAGAUACCCUGGUAGUCCACGCCGUAAACGAUGAGUGCUAAGUGUUAGAGGGUUUCCGCCCUUUAGUGCUGCAGCUAACGCAUUAAGCACUCCGCCUGGGGAGUACGGCCGCAAGGCUGAAACUCAAAGGAAUUGACGGGGGCCCGCACAAGCGGUGGAGCAUGUGGGUUUAAUUCGAAGCAACGCGAAAGAAACCUUACCAGGUCUUGACAUCCCUCUGAUCCUCCCUGGAGACAGGGGCCUUUCCCCUUUCGGGGGGACAGAGUGACAGGUGGUGCAUGGUUGUCGUCAGCUCGUGUCGUGAGAUGUGGUUAAGGUCCCCGCACGAAGCGCACCCUGACCCUUAGUUGCCAGCAUUCAGCUGGGCACUCUACGGUGACUGACUGUGACAACGGAAGAGGUGCGGAAUGAACGGUCCAAAAUCCAAUUCCAGUGGC
This 1192-nucleotide ribosomal RNA is filed under the name Heyndrickxia coagulans. RNAcentral's name for it is "bacterial SSU rRNA". It matches the Rfam family "Bacterial small subunit ribosomal RNA", at positions 41 to 1208 of the family's 1533-position model. The record is from RNAcentral. Lineage: Bacteria; Bacillati; Bacillota; Bacilli; Caryophanales; Bacillaceae.